Long non-coding RNA from Oncorhynchus gorbuscha (pink salmon), 1318 nucleotides. RefSeq lists it as uncharacterized. The transcript has 3 exons. NCBI's taxonomy places the organism in Eukaryota, Metazoa, Chordata, Actinopteri, Salmoniformes, Salmonidae. The record is from RefSeq and is a predicted model, not a curated record.
AAUGUAACUUUCUGUUCCGAGGAUGUUAGGGCGACGUUAAAAGGGCUCAGAUAAUAAGCUGUUCCAAGGACGUGUGGACUUGAAAGGACAAAGACCACCCACCGAACUAAGCCAACCUUAGAGAACCUAAUGAAAUUAGCAUUGAAUUUCAAUGUGAAGGUGACAACCUACACCCCGGAAGGAUGACUUUUGACUAUACCAGCCAGAAUAUAGCAUGAGCUUAAAAGUAUGGCAACUUGGUAUGAACUUUGAACCCUUAUUCACUCCAGAAGUGAGAAGCCGUUGAGUUAGCAGCAGUCACUAAACGUGGGCUUGGAGAGGACGGACAGAGUAUCCAUUCUACCAUGCUCCAGUUCACCACUAGACAUUCUUCAGAGGGCCAGAGAACCAUAAAGGACAAACCGGCCUUCCAUCGACGACCAAUCUACCGAAGCGCAGCUCAGAACCAUGAUUCCUGGAACAAUCCCUGUGAAGUCGGAAUGCUAGAAAACGGGCGAUGAGUCCUUCUACGUAGACCCUGCAGAUGGCAACUUACAAUUCCUAACCUUGACGCAGCAGAAGCAUAGAGAAUUCCUUAAGGGAGGUAACAUUUUCUUCUCAUCACCGUGCAAGAUAUCUCCAAGUCUGCAUUUUACCAACUCCCUGCCCUGUCCCAAAUGGUCACCACAGAACUUAAUUUCAAACCCAAACAACCGUGAUGAAGGCCCAUGCACCACAGAGUAAAAAAGAUCGGAUCAAGGACAGAUCAGCAUAGAUUUGAUCAAUUCCAAUAUUUGUGCUUAGGUAAAUAUUGUAUGUAUUUAUUUUGUUUAAAAUCAGUAUGUGCAUGGUCAUUAUGUUAUAUAGGUUAAUUUAAUUGUAUUAUGUUCUAUAUUUAUGGUAAACAUCUUGCACACCUAAAUGCCAUCCCGAGACAGAUUAUGCCUAUUAUAAUUUAUUAUGACGAUAGGCCAGUAUUGAUAGCAAGCAUUACAUCUAGUAACCUUUGACCACACUCUCCUUAUCCUGCUUCAGUAUGUGAUAACAUGUCCUAUGUUUAUUUAUUAUCAUAAUGAACCACUGACUGUAAUUCUGUCCUAAAACACACACUUUACAUAAUACUGGUUGUAUAUUUUCUGAGAUUGAAAAAGCUACAAAUUGGGUGAUUUGUAUAGUUCCCCUAUGACACUGUAUAUUCUAAUAUCCUCAGUAUAGGUCAUUAGUCCAGUAAAAACCUUAGGUUUGUCCCAUUCAUCUGCAUAUAUCUAAUCUGUCAAAUUUAAAUAUUCAAAUAAACAGAUUUAUGAAAUAUUAUUUCAUAAUGUUAUGCAUUUGGCUC